Molecule: ribosomal RNA, 458 nt
Filed under: Streptococcus mutans
Lineage: Bacteria; Bacillati; Bacillota; Bacilli; Lactobacillales; Streptococcaceae
Description: bacterial SSU rRNA
Rfam family: Bacterial small subunit ribosomal RNA
Source: RNAcentral
GACGAACGCUGGCGGCGUGCCUAAUACAUGCAAGUGGGACGCAAGGAAACACACUGUGCUUGCACACCGUGUUUUCUUGAGUCGCGAACGGGUGAGUAACGCGUAGGUAACCUGCCUAUUAGCGGGGGAUAACUAUUGGAAACGAUAGCUAAUACCGCAUAAUAUUAAUUAUUGCAUGACAAUUGAUUGAAAGAUGCAAGCGCAUCACUAGUAGAUGGACCUGCGUUGUAUUAGCUAGUUGGUAAGGUAAGAGCUUACCAAGGCGACGAUACAUAGCCGACCUGAGAGGGUGAUCGGCCACACUGGGACUGAGACACGGCCCAGACUCCUACGGGAGGCAGCAGUAGGGAAUCUUCGGCAAUGGACGAAAGUCUGACCGAGCAACCCCGCGUGAGUGAAGAAGGUUUUCGGAUCGUAAAGCUCUGUUGUAAGUCAAGAACGUGUGUGAGAGUGGAAAG